This 1009-nucleotide long non-coding RNA is filed under the name Homo sapiens (human). Its description in RNAcentral is "non-protein coding lnc-KLF8-4:5". The record is from RNAcentral. Lineage: Eukaryota; Metazoa; Chordata; Mammalia; Primates; Hominidae.
ACUAGCAAACAACCUCAGCUUCAUAAAUCCAGCAGAAAGGUCCGGGGUAUUGUUGAAAAGGUCGGAAGGACCAAGAUUAUGUCCGCCAGCCUAAGUGGGACGAACAACCAAGUUGUGCGAUGCAGCUUUAAAGGGGCUGGUGAUUGACAGAAUGGUGUAGUAGUAGAUGGGGUGGAGCCGCUGGGUGGGGUCGAGACUGGCAGCUGAGAGAUACCAAAAGGAAGAAAAAAGAAAACCAUUGCUCUUGAUAUUGCUAAUGCCGGGGGAGGUAAGCUAACGAGAAAGUAGGGAAAAGGAAGGUUUUAGAGUUCACCUCCACUCCUUCCCCUGGCUAACACUCUUUACACUCUUCUGCCUUCCCUUGAGAUAAUUAAAAUAGACUGUACACCGGCCCUAGUCGGUGCCCAUUCCCCCUAACUCUUCACUCAACUACGUGUGUAGUCCGAGGGAGUGAGGACCCCGGGUCCAAGAGCUCAAUCCCGGCCCCGCCCCGUCGGCCCAGGCCCCGGGGCUGGGAGGAGAGGAUGCCUUCGGAGGCGCAGAAUCCGAAAAGAUGUGGUUGGAGCUGGAAGCUGUUAUCCUCAGCAAACUAAUGCAGGAGGAGAAAACCAAAUACUGCAAGUUCUCACUUAUAAGUGGGAACUGAAUGAUGAGAACAUUUGGACAUGAAGACCAAAUCUCCAGGAUUGUGAAUCAAUCAGAGAAUGUUUAGGGAUGUGGAUGAAGCUGGAAGCCAUCAUUCUCAACAAGCUAACACAAGAACAGAAAACCAAACACUGCAAGUUAUCACUCAUAAGUUGGAGGUGAACAGUGAGAACACAUGGAUACAGGGAGGUGAACAUCACACACUGGGGCCUGCCAUGGAGUGGGGGGCUGGGGGAGAUAGCAUUAGGAGAGAUACCUAAUGUAGAUGAUGGGUUGAUGGGUGCAGCAAACCACCAUGGCAUGUGUAUACCUAUGUAACAAACUUGCACGUUCUGCACAUGUAUCCCAGAACUUAAAGUAUAAU